AAGAAAUUAACGAAGAUUUCCUUAGUAACGGCGAGUGAAAAGGAAAUAGUCCAUCGCUGAAUCCCUUACCCAUGGUAAAGGGAACUGUAGCGUGUAGGAGAGCCUAUCCGUCGAGUUAUUGGCUUCGGAAUCGCCCUCGAAUGGGAGUCCAAAGCGGGUGCGAGACCCGUAACGAAGUCACGCUCGUCGGUUUGAGCCUCCUUAGAGUCGGGUUACUUGAGAGUGUAGCCCAAAGCGGAAGGUAAACCCCUUCUAAGGCUAAAUAUGACCGCGAGACCGAUAGCGAACAAGUACCGCGAGGGAAAGUUGAAAAGAACUUUGAAGAGAGAGUUCAAAAGGGCGUGAAACCGCUUAGAAUAAAACGGACGGAGCCGUCAGUGGCCUUCCGGAAUCAGUCGUAUGACGCGCGACAAUGCGUUGCCUUAGAGCGAAAGUCUGGGUGCGCGUUAGGAAAUAGUAGCGUUCAUUCGAUGCAUUUCCGGAGGGUAUGCGCCACGACCGAUGCGAAAGGCUAGUGAAUCCGGCGGAUUGAGGUGGAAAACCCCUCGUGGGUCUUCAGUACCAGUUCGUCGGCCUAUAGUCGCUAGACCGCAGUAUGCAUCGAGCGCGGAAUAUAUCGAACACUGGCAAAAAUGCUCGUUUAAGCGGCGGAUUGUCGACGGAAUAUUCCGUACCUGCUCGCAGGUUAUGUUUAUUCCCGUUCGGCCUUUGAAGUCGCGGACGAGUUUAUGGUGUUCGGGCGUCAGUGGCGUCCGAGACGGUCAACCGUCCGACCCGUCUUGAAACACGGACCAAGGAGUCUAACGUACGCGCGAGCUAAUGAGUGGAAAACUCAUAAGCGCAAUAAAAGUAAAAGCCGUUUCCGACGGCGUGGGGUACGAUCCCGGGGUAUUCAUUUAUCCCGGGCGCAGUACCAUCCCAUCCUAAUCGCUCGUCGAUAGGGUGGAGAUUGAGUGCAUACGUUGGGACCCGAAAGAUGGUGAACUAUGCCUGAGCAGAGCGAAGCCAGAGGAAACUCUGGUGGAGGUUCGUAGCGGUUCUGACGUGCAAAUCGAUCGUCAGACUUGGGUAUAGGGGCGAAAGACUAAUCGAACCAUC
RNAcentral lists this ribosomal RNA (1098 nucleotides) under Longidorus dunensis. RNAcentral's name for it is "LSU rRNA". It matches the Rfam family "Eukaryotic large subunit ribosomal RNA", at positions 59 to 944 of the family's 3401-position model. Lineage: Eukaryota; Metazoa; Nematoda; Enoplea; Dorylaimida; Longidoridae. The record is from RNAcentral.